Molecule: transfer RNA, 64 nt
Filed under: Choroterpes yixingensis
Lineage: Eukaryota; Metazoa; Arthropoda; Insecta; Ephemeroptera; Leptophlebiidae
Description: tRNA-Phe
Rfam family: tRNA
About the family: Transfer RNA (tRNA) molecules are approximately 80 nucleotides in length. Their secondary structure includes four short double-helical elements and three loops (D, anti-codon, and T loops).
Source: RNAcentral
AUUUAAAUAGCUUAUUCAGAGCAUAGCACUGAAGAUGCUAAGGUGACAUUUAAGUCUUUAAAUA